GACGAACGCUGGCGGCGUGCUUAACACAUGCAAGUCGAACGGAAAGGCCCUGCUUUUGUGGGGUGCUCGAGUGGCGCACGGGUGAGUAACACGUGAGUAACCUGCCCUUGACUUUGGGAUAACUUCAGGAAACUGGGGCUAAUACCGGAUAGGAGCUCCUGCUGCAUGGUGGGGGUUGGAAAGUUUCGGCGGUUGGGGAUGGACUCGCAGCUUAUCAGCUUGUUGGUGGGGUAGUGGCUUACCAAGGCUUUGACGGGUAGCCGGCCUGAGAGGGUGACCGGCCACAUGGGGACUGAGAGACGGCCCAGACGCCUACGGGAGGCAGCAGUGGGGAAUAUUGCACAAUGGGCGGAAGCCUGAUGCAGCAACGCCGCGUGCGGGAUGACGGCCUUCGGGUUGUAAACCGCUUUCGCCGGUGACGAAGCGUGAGUGACGGUAAUGGGUAAAGAAGCACCGGCUAACUACGUG
Molecule: ribosomal RNA, 468 nt
Filed under: uncultured bacterium
Lineage: Bacteria
Description: partial 16S ribosomal RNA
Rfam family: Bacterial small subunit ribosomal RNA
Source: RNAcentral